This 694-nucleotide ribosomal RNA is filed under the name uncultured Bacteroides sp. RNAcentral's name for it is "partial 16S rRNA". It matches the Rfam family "Bacterial small subunit ribosomal RNA", at positions 9 to 688 of the family's 1533-position model. The record is from RNAcentral. Lineage: Bacteria; Pseudomonadati; Bacteroidota; Bacteroidia; Bacteroidales; Bacteroidaceae.
GAGUUUGAUCCUGGCUCAGGACGAACGCUGGCGGCGUGCCUAAUACAUGCAAGUCGAACGGUCUUUUCUAUGGAAGCUUGCUUCCACUGAGAAGAUAGUGGCGAACGGGUGAGUAACACGUGGGUAACCUGCCCAUAAGAGGGGGAUAACAUCCGGAAACGGGUGCUAAUACCGCAUAGUUUUCUUGAUCGCAUGAUCGAGAAAGGAAAGACGGCCUUUGUGCUGUCGCUUAUGGAUGGACCCGCGGCGUAUUAGUUAGUUGGUGAGGUAAUGGCUCACCAAGACGAUGAUACGUAGCCGACCUGAGARGGUGAUCGGCCACAUUGGGACUGAGACACGGCCCAAACUCCUACGGGAGGCAGCAGUAKGGAAUCUUUCGCAAUGGACGAAAGUCUGACGGAGCAACGCCGCGUGAGUGAAGAAAGGUUUCGGAUCGUAAAACUCUGUUGUCAGAGAAGAACAAGUCGGAGAGUAACUGCUYCGGCUUGACGGUAUCUGACCMGAAAGCACGGCUAACUWCGUGCCAGCAGCGCGGKAAUACGUAGKGGCAAGSGUGUCCGGAUUWWUGGGCGUAAAGSRRMGCMGSSGUUCYUAAGUCUGAUKKGAAAGCCCMCGSCUCAACCGKGAAGKCAUUGGAAACUGGGAACUUGAGUGCAGAAGAAGRRARKGGAAUUCCAUGKGURSSGGUGAAAUG